UGUACCGGGGCUAAACAUAUUACCGAAGCUGUGGAUUGUCCUUUGGACAAUGGUAGGAGAGCGUUCUAAGGGCGUUGAAGCAUGAUCGUAAGGACAUGUGGAGCGCUUAGAAGUGAGAAUGCCGGUGUGAGUAGCGAAAGACGGGUGAGAAUCCCGUCCACCGAUUGACUAAGGUUUCCAGAGGAAGGCUCGUCCGCUCUGGGUUAGUCGGGUCCUAAGCUGAGGCCGACAGGCGUAGGCGAUGGAUAACAGGUUGAUAUUCCUGUACCACCUAUAAUCGUUUUAAUCGAUGGGGGGACGCAGUAGGAUAGGCGAAGCGUGCGAUUGGAUUGCACGUCUAAGCAGUAAGGCUGAGUAUUAGGCAAAUCCGGUACUCAUUAAGGCUGAGCUGUGAUGGGGAGAAGACAUUGUGUCUUCGAGUCGUUGAUUUCACACUGCCGAGAAAAGCCUCUAGAUAGAAAAUAGGUGCCCGUACCGCAAACCGACACAGGUAGUCAAGAUGAGAAUUCUAAGGUGAGCGAGCGAACUCUCGUUAAGGAACUCGGCAAAAUGACCCGUAACUUCGGGAGAAGGGGUGCUCUUUAGGGUUAACGCCCAGAAGAGCCGCAGUGAAUAGGCCCAAGCGACUGUUUAUCAAAAACACAGGUCUCUGCUAAACCGUAAGGUGAUGUAUAGGGGCUGACGCCUGCCCGGUGCUGGAAGGUUAAGAGGAGUGGUUAGCUUCUGCGAAGCUACGAAUCGAAGCCCCAGUAAACGGCGGCCGUAACUAUAACGGUCCUAAGGUAGCGAAAUUCCUUGUCGGGUAAGUUCCGACCCGCACGAAAGGCGUAACGAUUUGGGCACUGUCUCAACGAGAGACUCGGUGAAAUCAUAGUACCUGUGAAGAUGCAGGUUACCCGCGACAGGACGGAAAGACCCCGUGGAGCUUUACUGUAGCCUGAUAUUGAAAUUCGGCACAGCUUGUACAGGAUAGGUAGGAGCCUUUGAAACGUGAGCGCUAGCUUACGUGGAGGCGCUGGUGGGAUACUACCCUAGCUGUGUUGGCUUUCUAACCCGCACCACUUAUCGUGGUGGGAGACAGUGUCAGGCGGGCAGUUUGACUGGGGCGGUCGCCUCCUAAAAGGUAACGGAGGCGCUCAAAGGUUCCCUCAGAAUGGUUGGAAAUCAUUCAUAGAGUGUAAAGGCAUAAGGGAGCUUGACUGCGAGACCUACAAGUCGAGCAGGGUCGAAAGACGGACUUAGUGAUCCGGUGGUUCCGCAUGGAAGGGCCAUCGCUCAACGGAUAAAAGCUACCCCGGGGAUAACAGGCUUAUCUCCCCCAAGAGUUCACAUCGACGGGGAGGUUUGGCACCUCGAUGUCGGCUCAUCGCAUCCUGGGGCUGUAGUCGGUCCCAAGGGUUGGGCUGUUCGCCCAUUAAAGCGGUACGCGAGCUGGGUUCAGAACGUCGUGAGACAGUUCGGUCCCUAUCCGUCGUGGGCGUAGGAAAUUUGAGAGGAGCUGUCCUUAGUACGAGAGGACCGGGAUGGACAUACCUCUGGUGUACCAGUUGUCGUGCCAACGGCAUAGCUGGGUAGCUAUGUGUGGACGGGAUAAGUGCUGAAAGCAUCUAAGCAUGAAGCCCCCCUCAAGAUGAGAUUUCCCAACUUCGGUUAUAAGAUCCCUCAAAGAUGAUGAGGUUAAUAGGUUCGAGGUGGAAGCAUGGUGACAUGUGGAGCUGACGAAUACUAAUCGAUCGAAGACUUAAUCAA
RNAcentral lists this ribosomal RNA (1749 nucleotides) under Staphylococcus aureus subsp. aureus CIG1214. RNAcentral's name for it is "bacterial LSU rRNA". It matches the Rfam family "Bacterial large subunit ribosomal RNA", at positions 1171 to 2925 of the family's 2925-position model. The record is from RNAcentral. Lineage: Bacteria; Bacillati; Bacillota; Bacilli; Caryophanales; Staphylococcaceae.